CACGGUGACUGAAGCCCUGGCGACUCCAAAGGGAGCCGUCCUGUACGUGUAAAUAGCAUUUGUGUGCUUUUCUCCUGUCAACCUGUCUGGUGUCGAUCUUGUCUGGAGACCGUAGGAAGACGGAGGAAACCUUCACCUCCCCUCCAGUUUCUGGUCUGAGGAUGGCAGAGCCUUGGCUGAGAUGCUGUUGGCUCCGGGGUCUGCAGCUGAGAGAUCUUGGGACCUGAGUAAUCCGGCAGAAGCCCCCCGGUGCAUAGUUGUAUAUUCUUAGUUCUGGAUCCUUCUAGCUGUGGCAUGUUGGACCCUGCGUCAGCAUGGCCUGACCAGCAGUGCCAUGUCCGCGCCCAGGAUUCGAACCAGCAAAACCCUGGGCCUCAGAAGCGAAGCACGCGAACUUAACCGCUCGGCCACAGGGCCAGCCCCUCUUUUUUUCUUAACUAAUGGAUUUUGUAUUUCCAUACCUGUAUCAUGGCUAAAAUUUAAAAAUAAAAGCCAUAAGAUCUCUGUUGGCAUCUGUCUCUAUGUUUUUGUGUGUCUAUAUAUGUAUGUUAUAUGUAUGUAAUAUUUUUCUACCUCCAAGAAGUAUUACUAAAAACUAGCUUGUG
This 605-nucleotide long non-coding RNA is filed under the name Equus asinus (donkey). Its description in RNAcentral is "lncRNA (ENSEASG00005037874.1)". The record is from RNAcentral. Lineage: Eukaryota; Metazoa; Chordata; Mammalia; Perissodactyla; Equidae.